AUGCACGCUGGCGGCGUGCCUAAUCCAUGCAAGUCGAGCGAACAGAUGAGGAGCUUGCUCCUCUGACGUUAGCGGCGGACGGGUGAGUAACACGUGGAUAACCUACCUAUAAGCCUGGGAUAACUUCGGGAAACCGGAGCUAAUACCGGAUAAUAUAUUGAACCGCAUGGUUCAAUAGUGAAAGACGGUUUUGCUGUCACUUAUAGAUGGAUCCGCGCCGCAUUAGCUAGUUGGUAAGGUAACGGCUUACCAAGGCAACGAUGCGUAGCCGACCUGAGAGGGUGAUCGGCCACACUGGAACUGAGACACGGUCCAGACUCCUACGGGAGGCAGCAGUAGGGAAUCUUCCGCAAUGGGCGAAAGCCUGACGGAGCAACGCCGCGUGAGUGAUGAAGGUCUUCGGAUCGUAAAACUCUGUUAUUAGGGAAGAACAAAUGUGUAAGUAACUAUGCACGUCUUGACGGUACCUAAUCAGAAAGCCACGGCUAACUACGUG
Molecule: ribosomal RNA, 496 nt
Filed under: uncultured bacterium
Lineage: Bacteria
Description: partial 16S ribosomal RNA
Rfam family: Bacterial small subunit ribosomal RNA
Source: RNAcentral